This 146-nucleotide long non-coding RNA is filed under the name Mustela putorius furo (domestic ferret). RNAcentral describes it as "lncRNA (ENSMPUG00000027049.1)". The record is from RNAcentral. Lineage: Eukaryota; Metazoa; Chordata; Mammalia; Carnivora; Mustelidae.
GUUUCCCAUUGCGUCUUCCUCUCCAUAAGGAAAACAAAAAAGAUAUAUUGGAAUUCCGGGCCCUUCUGCUGGAUUCCAUCAUCUUGAAACUUGAGUCAGGUAUAGACACUCCACCUGCCAACUGCUGUGGCAGAGCAGGUAACUGA